UGGAGCCCAGCCAGGCACCCCUGCCAGCAUCACAGGGGACCCUGCCUACCAUCAUGGCCAUCAUCAUCCUGGGGUCACUGCAUGGCCUUGUCUUCAGUGGGCUGGUGGCUAGGAUUCUACUUGGGAAGCUGCGGGGCAGGGAAUCCCAAGGGCAUGAGGAAGUCUCUGAGGUCAUCUAUGAGCAGAUCCUUGAGGAAUGGGUGGAUUCACGUGGUGCACACCUGAGGCCUGGGACCUGCCUGACUGGUGACCCGCCCGCAGAGGACACGCCUGUCAUGCUGCAGGGAGGUGGCCCCCCGCAGGUGGGACAGGAACCCCCCUUGCAGGCAUCCUCGGGGUCCAGCUACGACGAUGUGGGCGCGGCGUGCACGGAGCUGUGAGCCCACCGCUCCUUCUCCACCGGCUUUUCUGCCCUGGGGCGCUUCCAGGGCGAGCCUCGGUUUUCCUAGUUUUGACAGAUUUGUCUUUGGACGCUUCCUUAACAAUCCCCUCCUCUCCUGACGUUAAUAAAACUCCCUUGAUUUAAUAAGAGUCCCGCCUUGCGCUCGUGGGAAUGGGUUCAUUAACCACAGAAUCCCUGGACGGUGCAGAUGCCCAGUCUGUGCCUCUGCCGGUUCCCAUCCAGCGGUGACGGGUGCCAGGCCUGGGGCUCUCGCCCCCACCACCUCCCCUCUGAGUGGGCGGGCUGGGUCCCAGACGCCGGCGGUGCCCCCGCUCGCACUGUGCCGCUCUUAGGGGGCCACCGCUCCCUUCCGACCCUUCAGCAGAGCCUUGUUCCCAGCACACAUGAUUUGUGAGGAGUGGGGGUCCGCUUUUUCCCAUUGCCCUGAUAGUUCUCCAUUUUCAGGCGACUUUUAUUUUUAAUUGAAGGAUCAUUAUUUUUCAAUAUUGUGAUAGUUUCUACUCAGGCAACAUUUUUAUUCUUACAAACAAGAUGUUCUUUGAGGAGAAUGUGUGAAAGAGGCAUCAGAAGAAAGAAAUGUUCACCCUGCGGUCAGACUUGCUAACGACUGUCUCCUUAAAAACGCGUGAGGGGCUUCCCCGCUGGCUUGGUGGUAAAGAGCCCGUGGGUUCCGUCCCUGAUCUGGGAGGCGCCCACUGCCACGCGUUGCGGAGCAGCCAGGCCUGUGCGCCGCAACUCCGGAACCCGUGCUCGGGAGCUUGGGAACCGCAGCUGCUGGAGCCGGUGCGCCCGAGACACGCGCUCGACAGCAGGAGAGGCCCCGCAGUGAGAGGCUCGUGCCACAGCUAGAGAAAAGCCCUGCUCUGGCAACCGAGACUCAGCACAGCCCCGAAUAGCUAACUAAACAGAUA
This 1314-nucleotide long non-coding RNA is filed under the name Bos grunniens (domestic yak). RNAcentral's name for it is "lncRNA (ENSBGRG00000017264.1)". The record is from RNAcentral. Lineage: Eukaryota; Metazoa; Chordata; Mammalia; Artiodactyla; Bovidae.